This 467-nucleotide ribosomal RNA is filed under the name uncultured bacterium. RNAcentral describes it as "partial 16S ribosomal RNA". It matches the Rfam family "Bacterial small subunit ribosomal RNA", at positions 29 to 507 of the family's 1533-position model. The record is from RNAcentral.
ACGAACGCUGGCGGCGUGCUUAACACCUGCAAGUCGAACGGAAAGGCCCUGCUUUUGUGGGGUGCUCGAGUGGCGAACGGGUGAGUAACACGUGAGUAACCUGCCCUUGACUUUGGGAUAACUUCAGGAAACUGGGGCUAAUACCGGAUAGGAGCUCCUGCUGCAUGGUGGGGGUUGGAAAGUUUCGGCGGCUGGGGAUGGACUCGCGGCUUAUCAGCUUGUUGGUGGGGUAGUGGCUUACCAAGGCUUUGACGGGUAGCCGGCCUGAGAGGGUGACCGGCCACAUUGGGACUGAGAUACGGCCCAGACUCCUACGGGAGGCAGCAGUGGGGAAUAUUGCACAAUGGGCGGAAGCCUGAUGCAGCAACGCCGCGUGCGGGAUGACGGCCUUCGGGUUGUAAACCGCUUUCGCCUGUGACGAAGCGUGAGUGACGGUAAUGGGUAAAGAAGCACCGGCUAACUACGUG